UACGUAGGGUGCAAGCGUUAAUCGGAAUUACUGGGCGUAAAGCGUGCGCAGGCGGUUAUGCAAGACAGAUGUGAAAUCCCCGGGCUUAACCUGGGAACCGCAUUUGUGACUGCAUGGCUGGAGUGCGGCAGAGGGGGAUGGAAUUCCGCGUGUAGCAGUGAAAUGCGUAGAUAUGCGGAGGAACACCGAUGGCGAAGGCAAUCCCCUGGGCCUGCACUGACGCUCAGGCACGAAAGCGUGGGGAGCAAACAGG
This 253-nucleotide ribosomal RNA is filed under the name uncultured bacterium. RNAcentral describes it as "partial 16S ribosomal RNA". It matches the Rfam family "Bacterial small subunit ribosomal RNA", at positions 524 to 776 of the family's 1533-position model. The record is from RNAcentral.